This 497-nucleotide ribosomal RNA is filed under the name uncultured bacterium. RNAcentral describes it as "partial 16S ribosomal RNA". It matches the Rfam family "Bacterial small subunit ribosomal RNA", at positions 28 to 507 of the family's 1533-position model. The record is from RNAcentral.
GAUGAACGCUGGCGGCGUGCCUAAUACAUGCAAGUCGAGCGAACAGACGAGGAGCUAGCUCCUCUGACGUUAGCGGCGGACGGGUGAGUAACACGUGGAUAACCUACCUAUAAGACUGGGAUAACUUCGGGAAACCGGAGCUAAUACCGGAUAAUAUAUUGAACCGCAUGGUUCAAUAGUGAAAGACGGUUUUGCUGUCACUUAUAGAUGGAUCCGCGCCGCAUUAGCUAGUUGGUAAGGUAACGGCUUACCAAGGCAACGAUGCGUAGCCGACCUGAGAGGGUGAUCGGCCACACUGGAACUGAGACACGGUCAAGACUCCUACGGGAGGCAGAAGUAGGGAAUCUUCCGAAAUGGGCGAAAGCCUGAAGGAGAAACGCGGCGUGAGUGAUGAAGGUCUUCGGAUCGUAAAACUCUGUUAUUAGGGAAGAAAAAAUGUGUAAGUAACUAUGCACGUCUUGACGGUACCUAAUCAGAAAGCCACGGCUAACUACGUG